RNAcentral lists this ribosomal RNA (616 nucleotides) under Legionella pneumophila. RNAcentral describes it as "partial 23S ribosomal RNA". It matches the Rfam family "Bacterial large subunit ribosomal RNA", at positions 1 to 652 of the family's 2925-position model. The record is from RNAcentral. Lineage: Bacteria; Pseudomonadati; Pseudomonadota; Gammaproteobacteria; Legionellales; Legionellaceae.
GGUCAAGAAGAGAAGCGCAAACGGUGGAUGCCUUGGCAGUAAGAGGCGAAGAAGGACGUGGAAUCCUGCGAAAAGCUAUGGGGAGCUGGAAACGAGCGUUGAGCCAUAGAUGUCCGAAUGGGGGAACCCGGCUGCAGCGAUGCGGUCAUUUGCAUUUGAAUACAUAGGAUGCAAAGGCGAACUCGGGGAACUGAAACAUCUAAGUACCCGAAGGAAAAGAAAUCAAGAGAGAUUCUCCAAGUAGCGGCGAGCGAACGGGGAGGAGCCUGGCGUGAUUUAUUAUUGAACUGAGUAGAACAAUUUGGGAAAGUUGGCGAUAGAGGGUGAAAGCCCCGUAUACGAAGGUUUGAUGAGGAACUAGGCACGCGAACAAGUAGGCCGGGACACGUGAAAUCCUGGUUGAAGAUGGGUGGACCAUCAUCCAAGGCUAAAUACUACUUACUGACCGAUAGUGAACCAGUACCGUGAGGGAAAGGUGAAAAGAACCCCGGAGAGGGGAGUGAAAUAGAAUCUGAAACCGUUUGCGUACAAGCAGUGGGAGCAUGGUUUAGGCUGUGUGACUGCGUACCUUUUGUAUAAUGGGUCAGCGAGUUACUUUCAGUGGCGAGGUUAACUG